This 465-nucleotide ribosomal RNA is filed under the name Vreelandella stevensii. RNAcentral's name for it is "partial 16S ribosomal RNA". It matches the Rfam family "Bacterial small subunit ribosomal RNA", at positions 338 to 795 of the family's 1533-position model. The record is from RNAcentral. Lineage: Bacteria; Pseudomonadati; Pseudomonadota; Gammaproteobacteria; Oceanospirillales; Halomonadaceae.
CCUACGUGUGGCUGCAGUGGGGAAUAUUGGACAAUGGGGGCAACCCUGAUCCAGCCAUGCCGCGUGUGUGAAGAAGGCCCUCGGGUUGUAAAGCACUUUCAGUGAGGAAGAACGCCUGGUGGUUAAUACCCAUCAGGAAAGACAUCACUCACAGAAGAAGCACCGGCUAACUCCGUGCCAGCAGCCGCGGUAAUACGGAGGGUGCGAGCGUUAAUCGGAAUUACUGGGCGUAAAGCGCGCGUAGGUGGCUUGAUAAGCCGGUUGUGAAAGCCCCGGGCUCAACCUGGGAACGGCAUCCGGAACUGUCAAGCUAGAGUGCAGGAGAGGAAGGUAGAAUUCCCGGUGUAGCGGUGAAAUGCGUAGAGAUCGGGAGGAAUACCAGUGGCGAAGGCGGCCUUCUGGACUGACACUGACACUGAGGUGCGAAAGCGUGGGUAGCAAACAGGAUUAGAUACCCCAGUAGUC